RNAcentral lists this ribosomal RNA (255 nucleotides) under Mycobacterium sp. ITM-2017-0098. RNAcentral's name for it is "partial 23S ribosomal RNA". It matches the Rfam family "Bacterial large subunit ribosomal RNA", at positions 1156 to 1410 of the family's 2925-position model. The record is from RNAcentral. Lineage: Bacteria; Bacillati; Actinomycetota; Actinomycetes; Mycobacteriales; Mycobacteriaceae.
AUUGUGCGCCGAUAAUGUAGCGGGGCUCAAGCACACCGCCGAAGCCGCGGCAGCACACAUCUGUGUGCUGGGUAGGGGAGCGUCCUGCAUCCGGUGAAGCAGCAGAGUGAUCUAGCUGUGGAGGGUGGGGGAGUGAGAAUGCAGGCAUGAGUAGCGAUAAGGCAAGUGAGAACCUUGCCCGCCGAAAGACCAAGGGUUCCUGGGCCAGGCCAGUCCGCCCAGGGUGAGUCGGGACCUAAGGCGAGGCCGACAGGC